This 1334-nucleotide unclassified non-coding RNA is filed under the name Hevea brasiliensis (rubber tree). Lineage: Eukaryota; Viridiplantae; Streptophyta; Magnoliopsida; Malpighiales; Euphorbiaceae. The record is from RNAcentral.
GCAGAAUUCUUUUUGCUGCUCCAAGAUGAUGCUUUGAAGGAUUAUGCAUGAACCUGGAAAUUACACCAACUGAAAAUGCAAUGUCUGGCCGUGAGUGUGUUAAGUAAAUCAAGCCACCAACCAAGCUUCUAAAGUGACUUGCAUUGGCUUGUUCAUUCCCAUCAUCAACCUGUAACUUAUCAUUUAAGUUCAUAGGAGUGGCUGCAACUUUGCAGUUUAACAUGCUGAAUCUUUUAAGUAAAUCAGUUGCAUAUUUCCUUUGUGACACAAAAAUACCAUCUUCAACUUGCUUAACCUCUAACCCAAGAAAAUAAUGCAACACACCCAAAUCUGACAUCUCAAACUUCUUUUUCAUGCAGACUUUGAAUUCAUCAAUAAGAGAAGGAGAAGAGCCCAUAUAAAUCAUAUCAUCAACAUAAAGGCAAAUAAUUAGAAGAUCAUUUUUACCUUGCCUUUUUGUAUAGAGAGUGGGCUCAUUCUUACUUCUCUCAAAGCCAUUCUGAUGGAAAUAAGAGUCGAUUUUGCUGUACCAUGCCCGUGGAGCCUGCUUCAAUCCGUAAAGUGCCUUUCGCAGCUUGUAGACUUGGUCUUCUUUUCCACGAACAACAAAACCUUCAGGCUGAGAAACAUACACCUCUUCUUCUAACUCCCCAUUUAGGAACGCCGAUUUAACAUCAAAUUGGUAGAUGGGCCAAUUUAAUUGAGCAGCCAAGGCUAUUACAAUUCUCACCGUUUCAAACCGUGCAACUGGAGAGAAGGUGUCGUCAUAAUCUACACCUUGUUGUUGUGAAUAGCCUUUCACUACGAGUCGUGCCUUGUAUUUUUGAAUGCUGCCAUCUGCAUGAAACUUUGUUCUAAAGACCCAUUUAACUCCAAUGGCUUUCUUAUCUUGAGGAAGAUCUACCAAUUCCCAUGUUUCAUUCUUCUGGAUUGCUUCAAGCUCAUCUAACAUUGCAUUGCGCCAUGCUUCUUUUUCUGCUGCUUCUUCAAAUGUUGUUGGAUCAGCUACAAACAAGGCUUGUGUGCCUUCAUAAAUUUCAGCCAAUGAUCUGAAUUUUCUUGGAGGAGUUUCACCUUCAGAUGCACUACUGUUGCUGGAACUUGAAGAAGUAGUGCUUGGUGAGGUUGAUGAGAAUGGACUAGGAGUGUUUGGAGGGGUUGCUUGCUGUCUAAUGGUUGGUGAUCCUUCAUUUUCUGCUGGAAUCUUGAACUGAAUGUCAUCUGAUUUCUCCUGCCAACACCAGCUUGCCUCUUCAUCAAACACAACAUUCCUGCUAACAAUCACCUUGCCACUCACAGGAUUGUAAAGCCUAUAUGCUUUGGAUUGAGUACAA